AUUCGGAGCAUAGCUUUCACGACCUUCUCGAGGAGAUGGUGAUGGCGGGCCGCUUCAUGAUGAGGGCACGACCACAGGCGGAGCUGGCGAUCCCCUUGGCCUUCCGUCACCCACGCCGCGCGGCUAAGCGUGAGUUUCGCGAUACUUGAGUCUUUGCUUCAAGUAUUCUUGUUUGCUUGACACUAACCCUGGCUAGUGCUUGUGCUUGUUUUUCAGUAGCUUUUUCUCGAGAGAAGGCGGCCGAGUGGGCUUCCCAGAUGGUCGGGCCGUACAACUCGGUGG
Molecule: long non-coding RNA, 282 nt
Filed under: Brachypodium distachyon (stiff brome)
Lineage: Eukaryota; Viridiplantae; Streptophyta; Magnoliopsida; Poales; Poaceae
Description: long non-coding RNA (BDIS_LNC001910)
Source: RNAcentral